CCCCACUCCACUAGCCUCCAUCCACACACCCUUACCACUCUCCUCUCUCGCACCGUGGCAUUCCAGGGCGUAGCCCCGCCUCUCCUCCCUCUCAGCCGUGGGCGAAUGUUGAGCCAGACCUUGCCUCGCAUGGCCGCUCGUCUGCAUUGACACUGCUGGCUCUCUCCAAACCUUCUCCAUUUCCUCUCGAGGUUGCUCUCUCCCCUCCAUCUAAACUCGUUCUUUUCUUUUUCCAGAAUCUCGCAGAGGCGUUGUCGCCGUCGAUCUCGGUCCACGGCAUGGCUGUUGCUGUCAACGACCACCGGACCGCGUCCUCGUCUGUAGGUCCUCCGGAGGGCCUGCAGCAUGGAGAUCGGCCGCCCCCGUCCGUCGCUCCUUCUCUGCGUCGUCUCCCUCGUCCCUGAGCUGCCCGUCUUCGUUUGGUGAAGGCCGCCGCCAACGUCGCCAUGAACUCGGGCGUUGCAUCCAGCUUCUGACGGGUCCACUGCACUUCCCCGAGCUCACUCCUUCUCCUCUCACCUCUCUUCAUCUCUCAGAGCAGCGGAAGGAGGAGCCCUGCUCCCUUCUUUCCUCGCUGGCGGAGAAGACCGAGCGGUGUCGUGCAUGUCGCCGCGCACGUCGUGGCCGCGGCUGCCACCACUCCUCCACCCCUUUAUUUUUGUUCCCUUCGACGCUGAUAUCUCCCUCUAGUUGAACCGCCCCUUUUUCGUUUCCAGGAACCCGCGCCAGGAUGUCGCCUUCGUUGGAGCUCCGUCCGCCUCAACGUCGCGCUCGUCUCCGCCUAGGUCGACGUUCGGGAGCGAGCUCGCGCGACCGAGACGGCUUGAGCGUGCCGCUUCGUCCUGGCGUCGUCGCCCUCGUCUCUGGGCAUCACCGCGAGCCACCCGGAGUCGCCACCGCCAACAAGCAUCCGGGAGCAUCGUCGGAGAAGCUCCCGCGUGUCCGUGUCGUCGCCUCGAGGUCGCAUCAGAUCGAUGGUCGCCGUUGUCCAAGUUCUGUCGUCCGUGUCGGUCUGUCCCGGCACCGCGCAUGCUCCCGUCCGCGUCGACGUCUCCAGCACGACCAAGAUGCUUCGCUUGGCCACCCUAGUCCGCCUCGCCAUCAUCUGGCAGUCCUAGUCGAGCUCCGGCAGUACCUGAUUCGAAUGUUGACGGACUCGAAGGAGGAGAAGAAUUUGAGGAAUUCGAAGAAGACCAGGGACACAUAGCCAACCAAGGCAAGCCACCUCUUGAUGCAUAUCUCAUCCUAAUUAUCUUACUCUUGCAUUAUUAGCAGCUUUAUAAAUUGCAUGAUUUUAUUUAUUUAUGUGGGUGGUUAUUGCCACACGGAGUUUUAUUAUUCCACCCUUACGGGUGCAUCCCUCGUUGAUACCCAAUAAACAAAUAUAUGUUAGUGAUAUGGUGCUUAACACCUUAUCAUCCUUGUCGCCUCUUUUCAAAGAAAAGUCGGACUAUAGGUCGGGAGCCUCUUUAAAAAGGUUUGUGAAAUUUUUUUCAAGAAAGAAGUGUUUCGAAAACCUUGGAAUGGGGUAGCCCUGCCCAAGUGUGAGUUUAUGAAAAGAAAAAGGUUUUUGGGAAGAAAAAUUGCUGGAGGCAAGUGGAUAAAAUUGUUUUCGAAAAACUUUGGUGACUGAGUACCUAACCGGACCUAGCCAGUACAACCACAUUACCCUUUAGUGGGACGGGGCGCAGCGUAGUAGUUUGUCUCGCCUUAGUUUGGGUCCUGCAAGUGUAGUGGCAGUCCGACCAUGGACGCUUCGACCGGGGUUCUUCCCAUGAGAAGGGACGCAACCCAUUUGCCUUUUUAGGUACGCGGGGUACAACUUAUGAGCUCCCAUUGAAAGAUGCCGAAGUGGUUGGAUGGCAUUCCGGAGGGUCGGGUGUCGGGGAAUUUGCAACUCCUGGGUAAACGGCAUCCCGGACUCUGGUGUUGGGAGGUACAACUCAUUCGGCAUGUCUUAGACUAAGGCGAGCAAGCGAAAAACUGCGAUCGGUUAUCCGAGCCUCGCGUUUUGACGCUUGGUGAACCAGGGAUGAUCCCGGCGGAUUUAUCGGAUCUUGUGGAAGUGUACAACCUCUGCAGAGUGUAAAUCUAUUCGAAUAGCCGUGUCCGCGGUUAUGGACGUGGGAAUGGAAGCUUCUUGGCAUUAAAGAAAGUUUUGGUUUAUAAAAAUGUUUUCCAAAGGGUUUGGAAAAGGAUACCAGUGGGACUGGUGGAAAUGUACCUGGGAGGUACGGUGGAAGUUGGAAAAGUUGUUUUGGUCAUACUGAGAUGGCCGGAAAGGAAAAUGGGUCACCCGUACCUAUUAGUCUUCAAAAGAAACUUGCUUUCAAAAAGGUUUUCAACAAAGAUAUAGAGAUGUCAUACUCUCGAGAGGAACCACCUCUCACUCCUUGUAAUCCUAGAAUAGUGCCUGUUCCUUGCUACUGCCAAAUUGCAUAUCCUUUACUUCUCUCUAAGGUGGUUUGCGAGUACAAUUCAUAAUGUACUCAUGGCUUUGUCCCUGGCUAUUUUGAUGUAUCCCCGGUCACCGACGUCGCUACACCAAGACCAACAAGUCCCCCAAGUGGAUCGAUGACACGAGCCCGAGUCAAAGCUCUACAUGAUGAGGUGAACUCGCUCCUCACCACCCUUGAUCUUGGUACCCCUUUGGAUGGAUUUCUACCUCAUGCCGACGUGCUAUGUGUCAUUAGGUACAAGGCGCGUCAAGACCCCGGAGAGGAGGAGACGCCAAGGUCAAGGGAGGGAGAGAAGCAGCUGGACAUGGAGAUGAUCAUGAAGUCGAAGCCGACGUCGCUCGAAGCGCUCCAAGGAAGAGACGGACGCUGGCCGGUCCAGGACCCGGUCAGACCGGACCCACAACCGGACGCCCCGGUCCACGAGCCCGGUCAACCGGGCGCAAACCGGGCCAGCUCCCUCGUACCGGACGACGACCGGACCCAGGACCGGAUUCUUCGCAGAUUCCCGAUUUGCGCCCGGUCGACCGGACCCAUGACCGGACAGCCCGGUCACAGGCCCGGUCAGACCGGACCCAAACCGGAUCUGACGGGAAUGCCCCACCAAACUGCCUUAACUUAUCCAUUCGCGUACCUGUUCGCCCUUGCUGGCCAUGUGUGCCUAUAUAAGUAGCUGGGACCCCUCCUUUACUCUUUAGACUUGUUUUGAACUCAA
Lolium perenne is the source of this 3171-nucleotide long non-coding RNA. RefSeq lists it as uncharacterized. The record is from RefSeq and is a predicted model, not a curated record. NCBI's taxonomy places the organism in Eukaryota, Viridiplantae, Streptophyta, Magnoliopsida, Poales, Poaceae.